Esox lucius (northern pike) is the source of this 16601-nucleotide long non-coding RNA. The record is from Ensembl. NCBI's taxonomy places the organism in Eukaryota, Metazoa, Chordata, Actinopteri, Esociformes, Esocidae.
CUGCACAGGGGUUUCUAGAAGGGGGAUUUUCAGCAUGCCUUAUUUGAAAUCAGCUAAACUAGACAGUCGGGAACAUGUAAACACUACAUUGGUGUCAGAAGUGUGAUUUUUAGCUACGCCUUGUUUCCCCGAUUAUUUUAAGUUUAGCCUAAACAUAGCCAGCAGUGAGAUGGAACAAACGAGAGACAAGUGAAUUGACGAGAGGAGAAAGCAUGGGGCGCAAACUUACCCGCCGUACAGACCGGAGGCAGUUUCACAUUGGCUAAAGGUGGAGAACCACUCACUCUCUGAGAGAGAGCCAGCUCAAGCCUACAGUGCGUGAACAGGGUGCUAGAGCCGCUGUCAUCACUGACGAAAGUAAACAGACCAACCAAGAUGGCAGCCCCCAUGAAAGCUACAGCAGAGAGAAUACAGGAGACCGCACCAAAGCUGUAGAAGGGAGUAGGAUGAGUUGACCCAUGUUGAGUUUACAAUUUGAACAAGAGGGGGCAUUGAACAAGUGGAGUGAGAACUCUGCCUGAGGACGAACUGGGACCCUUAUGGCCAUUGCUGCAGGGGGGCAAUAUGGGUUACUAGGGUGUUGUAGGAUGGCUGGAUGGGCCACACCUUUAUCAUGACAGUUCUCAGAGCAGUGCUGUCUGUCGAAACAAUGUUAACACAAACCCAAGCUACUGAAAUUCCAGGGAAAAUUGAGGUGAGGGUGGAGGUUAGAGGUAAAGUUAAGGUGAAAGGGGAUUCACAUGCCAAUGAUAAUGCUAAUGUUAGGCAGGGUGCUUACUAUAGCCCAAAAUGUAGUGAUAGGGACACCAUAACAACACCGGGGGAGAAGAAUGAUUGUCGUCUGUGAAGCUCGCCGAGAGGCUAAAGUUAGGCAAAUUUGAUGGACUGGCAUCAUGGGAAGCGUUCAGAGCCAAGUUUGAUUUGGUGGCAGCAGCAGAUAGGUUGUCUCCGACGGAGAGAACAGUGCAGCUGGCUAUAUCACUGGAAGGGGAAGCCCAGCAAGUCCUGCUGGAACUUUCAGAACAGGAGAUGCAGGACCCAGAGGCCAUAACAGCCGUGAUAGCUUUGCGUUUCGGUCAGCCGGUGCGAGUUGCAGUGAUGCGUCAACAGCUUACUGAACGGAGCCGGAAGCCCGGGGAGACACUAGGCCUUUCAUUAAGGGGCUAACACCAGACAUGUGCCGAAAACAGGUUCGCGUUAGGGAUGUAAUGAUAUCAAAAUCUCACGGUACGAUACAAUUUCGAUAUUGACCUCACGGUACGAUAUUUAUUGCGAUAUUGUGGAAAAGCUCACGGUAUUGUUAAAUAGCUCACGAUAGUGUUUGUGAUGAUAAUAGCAAAAAAAAUACUGACAUUUAUUCUGCUUUUGCCAGUCAAGAUCAAAAGAUCUACAUUGCAAGGGAGAAGAAGAGACCUCUGGGCAUUCACAAUAUCCCCUGCUGUUGAAAAUACCCUUUCACUGGGCACCGAGGUAGCGGGUAUACACAGGUAGGUCUUUGCUAAUGAAGACAGAAUAGGAUACUGCCCUGCGUUGUCUCUCCACCACUUAAGAGGGCAAGCAGACAGAGAAACUAAUGCUUCUUUGCAGUAAGAGUCGAUUUCUGCCUGAAUUCCACCUGUGACUUGAUUACUGCUAAAAGAAGACCCAAGGAGGUCCUCAAGAGCAUGCUUCUUAAGAGGAGGCACAAAGCUUGCGCUGCUGUCGUCCAGAUCUGCCAAGUAUUGCUGUCGGCCAUGCUGGCUUGCUGUGAGCUUGUGUGGACAGCGUGCAGCGUGCAAUCCUAUUGGCUUAACAAUGGUUGUUGUGACGACCCAGCGCAAAGGAUCAUGGUCUAUGUAGUUAACAAUGAUUUGUUCCGCGGGACUGUGUUCAUUCCUCUUGCUUUUUGACGGACACCUGUCCUUUUAAUAUUGUAACCCAAUCACGACGAUAUCGAGACACGUUUACUACCGCAAUAGCGCGAUAUCGUCAAUAUCGUUACAUCCCUAGUUCGCGUAUGGAGACCUGAGACACUAGAAGGUGCACACCAAAGCCCUCACCUUGACCAACAGUUGACAGACCUCCGACCACUGCACUUUUCCCAGGCUGGUGUUGGACGGGCAGAUCUAGCAUAUGAAAUUUGCUGGCGCUGUGGCCAGAAGGGCCACCGGAUGAGAUACUGCUCCCAUUUGGAACGCAAGGCCUCAGUAGAUCUGCAACGCUUGUGAAACGGGGAGUGCCCAGUGCAGUAGGGGCACCACUGGGCUCCACACCAAAGUCCCCACCCACAGAGAGACUACCCAUGGUGAAUAAUUACCAGCCUGCCCUCCAGCACCAAGUCCUUCAGGCCCUUGACAGCUGUCCCAUUCCUGUAGAAGGUCAGAGUGUAGGGGCCUUCCUUGAUACAGAUUCUACUGUUGCACUGAUCCACCCCAACCUGUUGCCUCCCUACACCCAUUUGGAAGCUGUUGGUGCCUCGCUGGUCUCUGUCACGGGAGACCAGGCUCCAAUGAUAGGAUCAGUCUGUGUGAAUAUACACAUAGCUGGCAGAACCUUUAACCAUCGCGUCUGAGUCGCCCAAGUCAGGGAGAAUUCCUGUUGGGUUUGGACUUCUUACGCAAGGCAGGUGGGAAACUAGAUGUUUGAGCUGGGACAAUAACCUUUGAUGGCUGUCCCGCCAUUUCCCUUGGACUCGUUCAGGCUACUGCUGUCGUGCAACAUCUCAGAAGACUACCCAGGGAAGGUGUUUACACCAGCCAUGCUCGGUCUGACACAAAACCCAUUAACCACUAUCACUCCAGUUGUGGAUCUUAGGGACCUAGCGGCAACCCAGGAGACCGCCGAUCAAGAAGCAGGCUCCCUGGGCCCUCCAGGGCUCACUCAGUCUGGCAAUAAUAUCUCUGGUCACACCCAAAUUGCAGAACUGGCCACGGGUAAGGUGAAUCAAUCGGUUUGGGAGAAGAACUCAGAGGAAAUGGAGCAAGAACAACACUGUGCCUUUUUAACCUGCUGCAUGCGUUUUCUCACAGAUUUGCCACCACCUCCGGUGAUGUGGGGUGUACCCAGCUGGUACAACUCAGAAUUGAUACUGGUCCAUCAGCAGCCCCGUCGACUUCCGGCUGGACAUCAGGCAAUUGCAGAACAGUGUGUAGAGGAAAUGCUUGCUGCUUAUACUGUUGAACCUUCUGACAGCCCCUGGGUAUCCCCAGUGGUGUUGGUCCAAAAGAAAGAUGGUACAUGGAGACAUUGUGUUGACUAUCGGCAGUUGAAUGAUAUCACGGUAUCACGGAGCAGACAAUUCUCUUGACCUGGUGAUGGGGUUCUCAUGGUGUUUUUUCAUUGGAUCUUCGAAGUGCUUACUGGCAAGUGGCAAUGGCCCCAGAGGACAAGGCCAAGAUGGCCUUCACUAAAGGGAAAGGAUUGUGGUAGUUCAAGACCAUGCCAUUCGGAUUGUGCAAUGCAUCAGCAACAUUCAAACGGCUGAUGGAAAAAAUACUGGCGGGUAUUCCCUCUGAACGCUCCCUUAUGUACCUGAAUGAUGUGCUUGCACAUGCGCCUAGUUUUGAUGCUGCCUUGGAGGCUCUGAAGGAGGUCUUGGAGAGGAUCCAAGCUGCUGACCUCAAGUUGCACCCAGAGAAGUGCCGCCUGCUACAAAGGUAGGUCUCGUUCCUUGGGCAGAGGUAAGCAGGGAAGGUCUCAAAACAACGGCAGACAAAGUCGCUGCAAUACAGGCCUGGCCAAUUCCUAGUGAUGUCCACCAGGUACGGGCAUUCGUGGGUUUAGCUCAAUACUACAGAAGAUAUGUGCCCGGCUUCCCUACAGCUGUACCACUGUGAUCCCAGAGAUCUCUGAAACCAGUUUUUUCAAGUACAUGCCAAUAUAAUCUCCUGCUCUUUUUAAAGCACAAACCACAUAGUCAACCCUACUAGAUAUUUUGCACAUGUAGUCAUCUCCCAGCAAACAAUAUUGCAUUGUCAUUGCGUACUGACAAGGUAACUUACCUUUGGAACCAGUUAGAUGAUCUUACAUAAAUACAACCUAAAAUUAAAUGUAUUUAAAUUAACCCAUUUGUAAUUUGUGAGAUUAUUUUUUUACCAGGUAUUUUAAUAUGCCAUAACCAUUUUUUGUACUUAAAAAUUUGUAUAUUCAUACCAACAGCUAGAAUAGGUACAGUUAAGUUAAUUUCUGUCCAGUCAACAUAUCUCACAUGACAAUUCUCUCAAACUUUGUGUUUAUCCACUCCAACUGUCCCAUGCCCUCUUAAAGGUGCACAACACAAUUCAGGGCUCUAAACAGACUUUAGUUUUAGGCAAUCACCUAAUCAGUACCUCAUUGAGUAAAAUGAGCUGUGCAUGUGUUGGAAUUUAGUCUCUCCAGAGCUGUAUAUUAUUAGUAUUUUUGUAUUACUGGUUUCAGUCUACAUAUCUUCUUUAAAACUGACCAACAUUUUAAGGGGACAUUGUCUUUAUGAUGACAAAUGUUGCUCUGCAUUUUUUAUCCAUCACAUAUUGUUACCCCAAUAACUAGAGAAAGUGAAAUAUUCCUUGAUAUUAAAGAACAUACACUCACCUAAAGGAUUAUUAAGAACACCAUACUAAUACUGUGUUUGACCCCCUUGCACCUUCAGAACUGCCUUAAUUCUACAUGGCAUUGAUUGAAAGCAUUCUUUAGAAAUGUUGGCCCAUAUUGAUAGGAUAGCAUCUUGCAGUUGAUGGAGAUUUGUGGGAUGCACAUCCAGGUUCCCGUUCCACCACAUCCCAAAGAUGCUCUAUUGGGUUGAGAUCUGGUAACUGCGGGGGCCAUUUCAGUACAGUGAACUCAUUGUCAUGUUCAAGAAACCAAUUUGAAAUGAUUCGAGCUUUGUGACAUGGUGCAUUAUCCUGCUGGAAGUAGCCAUCAGAGGAUGGGUACAUGGUGGUCAUAAAGGGAUGGACAUGGUCAGAAACAAUGCUCAGGUAGGCCGUGGCAUUUAAACGAUGCCCAAUUGGCACUAAGGGGCCUAAAGUGUGCCAAGAAAACAUCCCCCACACCAUUACACCACCACCACCAGCCUGCACAGUGGUAACAAGGCAUGAUGGAUCCAUGUUCUCAUUCUGUUUACGCCAAAUUCUGACUCCACCAUCUGAAUGUCUCAACAGAAAUCGAGACUCAUCAGACCAGGCAACAUUCUUCCAGUCUUCAACUGUCCAAUUUUGGUGAGCUCAUGCAAAUUGUAGCCUCUUUUUCCUAUUUGUAGUGGAGAUGAGUGGUACCCGGUGGGGUCUUCUGUUGUUGUAGACCAUCCGCCUCAAGGUUGUGCGUGUUGUGGCUUCACAAAUGCUUUGCUGCAUACCUCGGUUGUAACGAGUGGUUAUUUCAGUCAAAGUUGCUCUUCUAUCAGCUUGAAUCAGUCGGCCCAUUCUCCUCUGACCUCUAGCAUCAAGAAGGCAUUUUCGCCCACAGGACUGCCGCAUACUGGAUGUUUUUCCCUUUUCACACCAUUCUUUGUAAACCCUAGAAAUGGUUGUGCGUGAAAAUCCCAGUAACUGAGCAGAUUGUGAAAUACUCAGACCGGCCCGUCUGGCACCAACAACCAUGCCACGCUCAAAAUUGCUUAAAUCACCUUUCUUUCCCAUUCUGACAGUUUGGAGUUCAGGAGAUUGUCUUGACCAGGACCACACCCCUAAAUGAAUUGAAGCAACUGCCAUGUGAUUGGUUGAUUAGUUAAUUGCAUUAAUGAGAAAUUUUACAGGUGUUCCUAAUAAUCCUUUAGGUGAGUGUACAAGCCAUUUAUAUAAAUAAGCUAGCAAUAUAUUUUGCUUACCCUAAAGCUGCAUGAAUAAAACACUAACAAGCGUAUUGCACAAAUGCGUCUUGUAAGCUUAGUUACAGCAUUAUUCUAUUGAUAAUCUGUGUUUACAGUCACUUACUUCAGUUGCUUGCUCUGUGGUUCUUCUUACAGUCAGGGAAAGCUGCAAUGAUAAAUGGAAAUGCAUAUAAAGGAUUUCAAAGUUUUUUUAAAAAUCGUGUACUUCCUCGAAUCUGCUUAGCAGUUUUUCCGUGUCAAAAUGAUCUUGCACUGGAAAUGUAUAUUUUAAUGUUUCCCUCGUAGCCUAGUGCACUUUACAGCAAUAAAGUACACAACGGAAAUACUUUGAAAACAUGAUGAUUACCGCGUGCUUAGUCACUCCUUGAAUACUCAAACAUGACUUGAGUAUUUACAGGUGCUGGUCAUUUAAUUAGAAUAUCAUCAAAAAGUGGAUUUAUUUCAGUAAUUCCAUUCAGAAAGUGAGACUUGUAUAAUGUAUACAUUCAUUCCACACAGACUGAUAUAUUUAGAGUGUUUGUCUUUUAAUUUUGAUGAUUAUAACUGACAACUAAUGAAAACCCCAAAUUCAGUCUCUCAGAAAAUGUGAAUAUUGUGAAAAGGUUCAAUAUUGAACACACCUGGUGCCACACUCUAAUCAGCUAAUUAACUCAAAACACCUGCAAAGGCCUUUAAAUGGUCUCCCAGUCUAGUUCUGUAGGCUACACAAUCAUGGGGAAGACUGCUGACUUGACAGCUGUCCAAAAGACGACCAUUGACACCUUGCACAAAGGAGGGCAAGACACAAAAGGUCAUUGCUAAAUGAGGCUGGCUGUUCACAGAGCUCUAUGUCCAAGCACAUUAAUAGAGAGGCGAAGGGAAGGAAAAGAUGUGGUAGAAAAAAGUGUACAAGCAAUAGGGAUAACCGCACCCUGGAGAGGAUUGUGAAACAAAAGAGGAUUGGGAAAAUACCAACACCCUAGACAGUAUUUAGAAGCAUGUAAAGAAACAUGGGCCAAACACACAGGGCAUCACCCGGGGAUGGGAGGUCAGCAGCAGGAGUGGUUUAGAAGGGCGGUCUUAGAGGGACUUCCAGAGAAAAUAAAAGAGGCAAUGAUGGCAAAUCCUGACUUGCCGGGCAGUGAAUCACACGUAUGGGAAAGACACAUAGUGCAUCAUUUACAAAGGGCUAAAGAUGAGAAGACAGAGAAAGAGAAACAGAUAGAUGAACUGAAAGAAAAACUGCUGCGCUUACAGCUGGGAGAGGCCAAAGUGAAAGCAAAUGAGUGGAAAAAGAAACAUAGACAGAUGGCAGCCCUAGGCUCGGGAGAACCUGACACACCCGAUUUAUACCCUGUUCCCACAUGGGCACCCCAACCUCAGGGUGGCCGGGGGGGCCUUCACCGCGCCCUAUCGACCAGGGACUCCGAGGGGAGGUUACGGUAGGGGGAGGGGCAGAGGGGCUCCAGGAGCCCAAGUCCCAUACGGAGCCUGUUUUACGUGUGGGGACCCGAUCUACUGGUCCAGGGAGUGCCCACAGAAUGCCUGAAGAGGCAGAGGAUACCCAAACCAAGGGGCAGCUCCAGUUCCCAACCCACACGCCGUCCCACCACCUAGUGCACCUGGCCAGUACCCACUCUCUUAUGACGGAGGGUGGGACAAGGAAUGACGGUCUACAGGGAGGGGAGGGGACAGAGGGGGAAAGGUAGAUCCUAUGCUGUCCCUGAAUGUCGACGGGAGGGACUUCCCCUUUCUGGUUGACACAGGUGCCACUUUUUCCACCAUCACCGCCCCUCCCGCCACAGGACUAUUAUCCUCUAAGACAGUGGAGAUUGUGGGGUUUGAAGGGGUGGGACAGACUUUGCCAGUGACAUUUCCCCUUAAAACGAUACUGUGAAAGAAAAGAUGUCACAAAGAGAGGCUCUAGGGGCUGCAGUCAGCCCAGAGAGCAGAAGUGAGAGCAGAGAUAGAGGCCCUCAGGCAGGCCAAGGGAAAGAGAGUAAACAUUUACACAGAUUCGGCAUACGCAGUAGGCGCAGCGCACGUGGAGCUAGGACAGUGGUUAAAAGCUGGGCUUAGAACAGCAGGAGACAAACCGAUUAAACACGAGGCAGAGAUGAGAGAACUAGCCGAGGCCCUGGACCUGCCCGAAAAGGUAGCCAUCAUAAAAUGCAAAGGGCACGAUAAUUCAAAUAAUGUAGUUGCUCAGGGAAAUCAAGCGGCAGACACAGCAGCAAAACAGGCAGCAGGGUACACUCCGCGAGUGAUGGUGGUAAGAGCAGAAGAGGAAGUGGGGUGGGGAGAAGGCCCUGAGAGAGACGGGCUAGUGUGGCUUCCCUUGUGGCUUCCCCACAAGAGAAAACAAUUUGGCAACAGAGAGGAGCAACAGAGACGAGCGGGCUCUGGAGAGGGCCAGAUGGUAGAGUAAUACUUCCACCAGCCAUGCGGGGAGAUACAUUUGCAGAAGCCCAUGGGUUUGGCCAUGUAGGGCCAGCACAGAUGUUGAGGAACUUGUGCUAUUGGUGGCACCCGUUUAUGGUAGACAUGGUAAGUAACUACACUAGGACAUGCACCAUCUGCACUCACCACAUUUCAAAACCGACGAUCAAACCUGAGAUUGGGGCGUUCCCCAUGACGACGAAACCUGGACAAGAGAUAGUGAUAGACUACACGGACAUGGGGGAAACAGUACGGGGAUGCCGCUACAUGUUAGUGUGUGUGGACAUGUUCACAGGGUGGCCAGAAGCCUGGCCGGCAAGAAGGGAGGACAGUCAGACAGUGAUCAAGUGUUUAGUGAACCAGUACAUUCCCAGACACGGCUUCCCAGAGAAAAUCAGGUCAGACAAUGGGACUCACUUUAAGAACAGUGAUUUACAGAAGGUAGAGAGCUUAUUGGGCCUAAAACAUGCUUUUGGCACUUGUGAUGGUAAUUCCAUAUAUUGACACUCGGAGUAAGGGACACUGAGACAAAGUUCUCUUCGUACAUUAUAACCGUUUUAUUAAUUAUUAUGCGCAGAGACUAUUAUGAGAGACGCGUCAACCGCUUACACACACAUAAUCGUCUGAGGAGUCUCUAACUCCAUAUAGCUCAUUCAACCGUAUAUAUCACAUAGGAAAAAGGGGUGUGGUAAGAUGCUGCCAUCUGUCUCAUGUCAAUCAAACACCUUUCCCUUUGUUCUAUCACACAAGUCAAAUGCUAUCUUCCCCCACCUUAUCCUUCCUGCCAUGUUUACUGUAGUGUUUACCCAAAGGGGCCAACUGAUCUUACUCCCCCCAAGGACCACAUUCCUGAGGAACAAAAGACUGACACCCUUCUUCUAGGCAGGAGGACAUGGCCCAAAUACCUGUUAAUCCUCUGAUAUUAUACAGACAUGUGUGUCACAAUCAAAGUAAAGAUCUACAUAUCAGCCAAAUGGAAAGACAGACAUUUCUCAAAUGUACCUUAGUUCAGAAUUACCAUAACACACUGUAUACCAUCCACAGUCCCAGGGAAAGGUAGAAAGGAUGAAACAAAACUUAAAAAACAAGUUGGCUAAGAUAUGUGCACAGACUAAAUUGAACUGGGUGGAUGCACUGCCACUGGCACUCAUGACGAUUCGAUGCUCGUUAAAUCAGACCACUGGGUUCACCCCAUACAAGCUGCUGACGGGGAGACAGUUUCCAGGACCAGCCGCGGGGCCUGCGGUCCCAGAAGGGGAAAAGUGGCCCAAAGAUCACAGAGUGUAUUUUGAUGAAUUGCGAGCUCUCGUUUCAGAAUUCUCCAAUAGAGUCGGAGAACGGAGGAACCUGCACCCGCUGGACCAGAACCUGCCCCAGGCGGAGUGGGUGCUGCUGAAGUUCAUCAAGCGAAAGUGGUCGGAGCCAAGGUGGACGGGUCCUCAUCAGGUGGUGGAGAGAACGAGCCAUGCGGUCCGCCUGAGGGACAAAGGAGAGACCUGGUACCAUUGGAGCCAGUGUACACCAGCGCAGGAGCCAGGGAGGUCGCUGAUGGACCUCAUCCAAACCGGGAAGGAGGAGCUUUCCCCAGUGUGGACAGAAGGAGGACCAGCUCCAGCCGGUCCGGUGCCAGAAGCGGACCCCAGGACACGGCGGGACUACGAGCGAGUGAAGGAGACAAAGGACGGCGCCAGGGGAAUAGACUCUUAGGGGAAGGAACUGAAGAAUACUGUAACAAAAGGGGGUAUAGGACACCGAGUGGCUACUACCACUCGUACCAAGAUGACAGGGUCACAGAGAAAGGUCUGGGGAGAUAGUAGAAUGAAAUGGUAUAUGGGAAUUGGUGGAAUAAUGUGUGUUGUAUGUUACUACAGGUUUCCCUGGUUGGUGUCGAGUCUCCAUUUCCAAAGCGAGAAGGCAGCUGACACAAAACAAGGACGCCUGCCUGAAGACCUUUGGGUUUGGCGCAUGCGCGAGCGGCGACACGAUCUUCUGCACGCUCUGUCAGCUGUGUUUUGUUUGUUUUAAUAAAUGUUGACAAUCCGUCGGAAUAUCAACGAUUAAAUUAAGUUUUUAGACAGAUGAGAGUUUAGGGUUCAGAAUGAAGCUGAACACUGCCAUCCUGCUGGUGAUUUUGAUAACUUUUUUAACCAAUCAUGCCAAACAAGCUGUCGGCUACAAUUACCUGGAAGCACAAAUCACCUACACAAGAGACUUUCUGUUAAGUCUUAAAGUUUUCAUUGCUUCCACCUGAAUGUGUCAGGGGCAACAACCCCAAAGUAAGGAAAUGCGGCAGGAAAGGAGGAAUCCAGGAAAGAGUGAAAAGACAACCCUACAGACAAUCACUCCCAUCUGUUAUGCUCGGCAAUGUCCAAAGCCUAAGGAAUAAGGCGGAGGAGUUGCGGGCCUGCACACAGCACCUCACUGAUUACCGGCAAUCCUGCCUUAUUUGCUUGACAGAAAGUUGGCUCAAUGGGGGGGAUCCUGACUCGCUGGUCGACCUAGAGGGCUACACACUGGUGAGGAUGGAUCGUAACCUGAACUCCGGGAAAAGAAAAGGUGGAGGCGUGUGUGCAUUUAUCAACAAUAAAUACUGUAAUCCUGGUCAUAUUACGACAAAGCAUCAGAUCUGCACGAAGGAUAUUGAAUUACUAGCGCUCUGCCUAAGGCCUUAUCAUCUGCCUAGGGAAAUACACCAAAUCAGACUGUUUGUUGUGUAUAUUGCGCCCUCAGCUGACACAUUGGCUGCUGCCACUAUGAUUCAGGAACUUGUAGCUAAUGCGGAGGAAGAGGCCCCGACGCAGACAAUUUUGUGAUGGGUGACUUUAAUUUAUGCAGCCUAAAGGAACAUUUACCUAGGUACCAACAAUAUGUCACCUGUUCUACGCGUAAUGAAGCUUGCCUAGACCAUUGCUAUGGAAACAUCCAGGACGCCUUUUAUUCUAAGGCUUUGCCUGGUUUAGGGAACUCGGACCAUAACCUGAACCAUACCGGCGUCCCGUCUACGGGACGGUUCAGACUCAUUUGCGGCAUGUGGUAAAAACUGCGACGAUUCGUAAAAUCUAAUUUUUCCUGGUAUAGGCAUGUCUUAUAUCGCCAGAAAGCUUGGAAUCUUGUUAAACUAAUAUUCAAUUUAAAAAAGCUAUUACGACGACCAAACACGGUGCAAUUGUUUCACGGCAGUCAACAAGAACAAAACACUUUACUGUAGGCACUCGGUUUCAUUUUUCAUGUAUCACGGAAAAUAUUGUACUUACAUUACUGAACCUCCGCAGAUUUCUUAUCCCUCUGUUCCCAGAGAGGACGGGAAGCAUAUUUUUGCUUGGUGAAAUCCGUUUUAAUUCUCAUAGUAUCCAUGCGUCACAGAAUGAAAAAUGACUCGAUCCACUUGCAACAAAACUAUUCAUGCUAUUCAGACCAUAAAACAAGUAUUUUCCCCGUGACAUUUGGUAUGUCUGUAAUAAUUAAACACUCAGGAAGAUAACUAGCCUUAUUGCGAGAUUCUACACAGCGAAUUGGCUGCGCAAUACCUCAGUAAACCCUAGUAGCGCGCCUCACGUUACGCACCAAUAAGAUGGACCAAGACAAACUUGAAGGACAAUAUCUUCCUCCAAUGACGACCAAUUAAUUUGAAUAGCUAGCUAGAUAGCCAAUGAGCUGGCCUUUCUUGUGAUGUGGGAAUGUGCACUGUGGGAAGAAUGGGCUGGAAUCUAGAGGUGUGCUCAACCGGACACCCCUGUUUCAUUUCGAAUUGAGAGAGCAUCAGAGCGCACUAGUAUUUUCAUUACGCACAUUGUUGCUAUUACUCAGUAGUUACUUCUUCUUGUUAUUUCGAUAAUUUUAAACAUUUCGAAUUUGAACAUGGCUCCUAAAAGUGGGAAAGCGAAAUCCAAGACCCAAGUACACAAACUUGGAGGAGAUUUUUGAGGAGAUUCAGCGAGAGAGUGACCGAGAGCUAGACGAGGAUUCUCUUAGUGAACAAAGUUUUGAUUCUGGCAAGGAAGAAUUGUUCUUGGAAGGAAAGGAUCCCGUUUUAGAUUGGUGAGUAAAAUAAAUUAUUGUUCUUUAUAUGUAUGUAUGUUUAUAUGUAUGUGUGUACGUGUAUAUGCUUGUGUACACCUGAAAAAUAAUUUUAUUUGGGUAGUAAGUGUAGUAAUAUGUAUAUAUUACAAAUAUACAAUUACAGUACAAAUAAACACAUACAUAAAUAUAUAUUUCAGCUAAACUUUCAUAUAAAAAGUAAUAUAAAUACAGGUUGAAAGAACUGUUCUUUGUCCUGUUGUCAUGGUGCGGUGAGCAGCAGCGCCACCGUGCCAUAGUUCCUCAGUUCCCAUACCUCACAAACACAUCCCGGACUGUCACAUGUUUCCAAUCUUCCACACCAGGUCCCAAUUUGUAUCAUUUGUAUGUGUAUAUAUGUUUCCCCUCUGCUCCCCACAUUGUGGAUCAUUGUUGCUGUCUGUAUGCUGGUGAGUGUUGUUUGUGCUACUGUUUGUAUGUUAGUUGCUAAGUCGCAUUGUUGCGCACUUUAUUUUCAUUCAGUAGAGUAGUUAUUGUUUUCCGUUCGUGUUCGGUUUGUUGUUUGUUGUUUUAAUAAACCAACGAACGUGAUCUCUGCCUGCGCCUGGUUCCUCCAACGCUACACCACGACAAGUGUUACACCUGUGCUAUAUUUGAAGCGACUCAGACUUGGAUGAUCUCUGGGAGCCGGCUGCAAAGAGACAACCACAAUCAAGCAGUCCUGCCCUCACUACUUCAGGAGCAUCUACAUCUGCCAUUGUUUCUGGCUCUACAACAAGCACACCUUUUGUCUCCAAAAUCACUCCAGGUCCAAUGUCAUCCACACCUACCCCCGUCCGGCCAUCCAGAGGUGUGAAGAGACCAGCCCAGAGACAAAGACGGGCCAGUGCACCAGCUGACACCCCCACUGAGGGAGAGGACCAUUGGCACACAGUACUGGUGGAGGAUGUGGAGCCACAUCCACCCACAUUCAGGCCUAAAAGGCAGCCUGGACCUCAGCUGGACAUGACUGGGACAUAUAGCCCCCUCCAUCUGUUCCAGCUGUUUUUUUACUACCUCUGUUCUUGCGACGCUGGUGUCGAACACCAACAAGUAUGGGACUAAAAAGCAAGCUGGAAAAAAAGAGGCAUGGAACACCAUUUCCAUCAAUGACAUGUACUCCUACAUAUCACUGGUCAUUUACAUGGGGAUUGUGCUCCUCUAGCACUCCUGCCCCAGGACCUGCCUCCAGUGGUGCGCACAUACCAAAGUAUCUGGUUGCAGACCUGAAUGUGCCUCAAGACCAAAAGGGUACAGUAGGAAGGCGUCGUUGUACCCUGUGCCAUAAAAAGUCACCUAUUACCUGCACAACUUGUGGUGUCACCCUUUGCUUUACAACAGAAAGAGACUGUUAUGGUACUUGGCAUCAGCAGCAUAACAUUAUGUGGAGGGUUGACUUGGGUGAUCUGGACCCUCAAUGUGUACAAAGUUUUUUUUUUUUUUCACUUUUUGUUUGCUGUUUGCACUUUUGACAUUAGAUCAGUGUUGGCUUCUCACUUAUUGUAAAUAGUUCACUUAUUUUGGGGGGCAUUGGAUCAGCGUUCUCGUCACGCCUCCUGUCAGUACCUUUAUGAAGAGAAACUAAUGAUCCAUCAUGUAUGACAUUUCUGGGAGUGUGUAAACCUUAUUUGUUAUUACACUUGUAUUUUUGAAUAAUCUCUGUUGUCAUAUGCUUGGAAUUUAAUCAUUUAUCCAAUUUGGCCACUUGGGUAGAUUUGGGGACACUCGGGAAGGACACUUGGGAGUCCUCUUACAGAAUAUUCUGCAGCUCUAUGGUCAUUCAAUGUAGCUGCCUAAAACUUUACCUACAGUCUCCUGCCUUCUAAGGGACAAUACUUGACGUGUCUCCAGCCUCCUAUCUCAAUGCAUGGCCUUCCCACUGCAUUUCAAACAUGAUGAUAAAAAUAAAAUAAAUAAAAAAAACGUAUGUUUUUGGUUUGUUUUAUCUUCUGCCAAAUCUAUUGUGUUAUACUUUCCUGCAUUCAUUUAUAAUUCCUGCAAACUACAGUGUCUCCUUUCAAAUGGUACCAAAUAAAUGUUUCUACUAUACUCAGGUCAUGAGCUACAAGCAUUUAGAUUUGGGUACAUCAAUUUAGGCGGAAAUUGACUUUUUUUGCACCUUGGCUAACAGGUAGACCAUUGCUAUGGAAACAUCCGGGACGCCUUUUAUUCUAAGGCUUUGCCUGGUUUAGGGAACUCGGACCAUAAUGUGAUUAAGCUGAAGCCUUCCUAUGUGUCCCGACUACGGAGUGAGAAAGCGAAAAAGGUGGAGGUUAAAUGCUGGUCUGCUGCUGCGACGGAGACUCUUCAAGGAUUGCCUGGAGUGCACAGACUGGAAUGUAGUUACUGACGGGACUGAUAACGUCAAUGACGCAGCGUUCGCUAUUUCGGGGUAUGUACAAUUCUGUGAGGAUAUGAUCAUCCCCCGAAAGACUAUUAAGAUGUUUCCUAAUAAUAAGCCCUGGGUCACUCCAGAGUUAAAGCAACUCCUUAAUGAGAAAAAACGUCUGUUUAAAUCAGGAGGAAGUAGAGAAGAGAAAAAGAUAGUACAGAAAAAGAUCAAAAGCAAGAUCAAUGAGUGUAAAGCAGCAUACAAACAUGAAUUAGAAAGCUUUUUUUUAAAUGACGUUAGAAGAGCCUGGCAGGGAGUUCAAUCUAUUACAGGUUACAAGCCCAAGAAGCACCCUAUGGUAGCAGACAAUGAUUUUAACAUGGCAAAUCAAUUAAAUGAUUUUUACUGUAGAUUUGACAUAUAUGAUUUUGAAGCAAAACAGAAUGAGGCCAUUACAGUAGUAAGAGACAUGAAAGGUGUGGAUAUUGACAUCUCUAUGGACGAUGUCAAAUCUCAUUUUAGACGUGUAAACCCCCACAAAGCUUGUGGACCUGAUGGUAUCAGCUGUAGGACACUAAAGGUGUGUGCUGAUCAGCUGGCACAGCCCUUUCACAGGUUGUUCCAGCUGUCACUAGACACUGGUGUUGUUCCCAGUCUAUGGAAAAAAUCUUUAAUAGUGCCGGUGCCUAAAAACAAUAGACCUAAGGAACUCAAUGAUCUGCGCCCUGUUGCCCUUACAUCCACAGUUAUGAAAUGUUUUGAAAAAAUAAUUUUAAAGGAACUUCUCCAUAAGCUCUCACCUCUUUUAGACCAAAAUCAAUUUGCUUAUCGUGCAGAGAGAGGUGUUGAGGAUGCACUGCUAUCUUUGAUUAACAGCAUUCAUUAGCACCUUGAGCAUGCUAAGAGUCUUGUCAAGAUUGUGUUCAUUGACUUUAGCAGCGCUUUUAAUACAAUUCAACCCCACCUGUUGGUGGAAAAAUUGGUGCAUUUGGGAGUAAAUCCCCAAUUGAUUAUCUCGAUCUAUAACUUCUUGACGGAUCGCAGUCAGCAAGUCAGAUUUAACUCAUGUAUAUCAUCCUUACAAACUAUAAACACAGGGGCACCACAAGGGUGCGUUCUGUCGCCCAUUUUAUACACAUUGUACACCAAUAAUUGUCAAGCCUCCUCUUCAGCUCACACUUAUUUUAAAUAUCCUGACGACACAGCAUUGGUUGGUUUUUUAAAAUCUAACAUUUCUUCUGUGAAUGAAUUCCAGAGGGAAUUACAGGGUUUCACUCAGUGGUGUUCUGAUAAUUUUCUUGAAAUAAAUGUAAAGAAAACAAAAGAGAUGGUUAUAGAUUUUAGCAAAAACAGAAUUAUAGUCCCCCCUUCUAAGAUCAAUGGUGAACUGGUAGAGCGAGUCUCAACCUACAAAUAUUUGGGAGUUGAAACUGACUCUAAAUUAAUUUUUAAUGACUGUGCAUUGAAUAAAACUAAGAAAAUGCACCAGCGGAUGUUUUUCCUUAGGAAACUAAACACUUUUAGACUAGACAGACACAUCCUUGUAAUGUUUUAUAAAAGUAUUCUCCAGAGUGUUCUGUCUUUUGGCCUUAUCUGCGUGUUUGGUAACAUGCAUGUUAAGGACCAAAGAGACUGCAGCGUAUGAUCAAGAUGGCCAGUAAGAUCAUAGGACUUGAUCAGGUGUCAGCAACUCAGCUGUACAAUGAGUUUAUCUUACAAAAGACCGACCAAAUCCUUAAUGACCCCACUCACCCUCUUCAUCAUAAAUUUAUGAGAAGCAAUAGGUCAACUGGUAGAAUUUUACAACAGAGAAUUAAAACGGAAAGUACAAUAAAUAAUUUGUGCCUACAGCAAUCAGACUGUAUAAUGACCAAGCACAUCGCAAGUACUUUGAUCCCACACUGGCAUUUUAACUGGAUGGUACACCCAAAUUUCAUUUUUGGACAUCAACUAGUUAUUUUUAUAUACUUAUUUUUAUUUUUAGCUACCUUAAUGUUUCGUAAACGUUAG